GUAGGUGGCAAGCGUUAUCCGGAAUUAUUGGGCGUAAAGCGCGCGUAGGCGGUUUUUAAGUCUGAUGUGAAAGCCCACGGCUCAACCGUGGAGGGUCAUUGGAAACUAGAAAACUUGAGUGCAGAAGAGGAAAGUGGAAUUCCAUGUGUAGCGGUGAAAUGCGCAGAGAUAUGGAGGAACACCAGUGGCGAAGGCGACUUUCUGGUCUGUAACUGACGCUGAUGUGCGAAAGCGUGGGGGAUCAAACAGGAUUAGAUACCCUGGUAGUCCACGCCGUAAACGAUGAGUGCUAAGUGUUAGGGGGUUUCCGCCCCUUAGUGCUGCAGCUAACGCAUUAAGCACUCCGCCUGGGAGUACGACCGCAAGGUUG
This 370-nucleotide ribosomal RNA is filed under the name uncultured organism. RNAcentral describes it as "partial 16S ribosomal RNA". It matches the Rfam family "Bacterial small subunit ribosomal RNA", at positions 527 to 896 of the family's 1533-position model. The record is from RNAcentral.